GCCCGCUUGGCUCAGCGGUAGAGCGCCUCACUAGUAAUGAGGAAGUGGUUGGUUCGACUCCAGCAGUGGGCA
Molecule: transfer RNA, 72 nt
Rfam family: tRNA
About the family: Transfer RNA (tRNA) molecules are approximately 80 nucleotides in length. Their secondary structure includes four short double-helical elements and three loops (D, anti-codon, and T loops). Further hydrogen bonds mediate the characteristic L-shaped molecular structure. tRNAs have two regions of fundamental functional importance: the anti-codon, which is responsible for specific mRNA codon recognition, and the 3' end, to which the tRNAs corresponding amino acid is attached (by aminoacyl-tRNA synthetases). tRNAs cope with the degeneracy of the genetic code in two manners: having more than one tRNA (with a specific anti-codon) for a particular amino acid; and 'wobble' base-pairing, i.e. permitting non-standard base-pairing at the 3rd anti-codon position.
Source: Rfam